Molecule: ribosomal RNA, 255 nt
Filed under: uncultured bacterium
Lineage: Bacteria
Description: partial 16S ribosomal RNA
Rfam family: Bacterial small subunit ribosomal RNA
Source: RNAcentral
UACGAGGGGGGCGAGCGUUGUUCGGAAUUAUUGGGCGUAAAGGGUGCGUAGGCGGUUCCGCAAGUCCUGUGUGAAAUCUUCGGGCUCAACUCGAAGUCUGCACGGGAAACUGCGGGGCUUGAGUGUGGGAGAGGUGAGUGGAAUUCCCGGUGUAGCGGUGAAAUGCGCAGAUAUCGGGAAGAACACCCGUGGCGAAGGCGGCUCUCUGGGCCGUAACUGACGCGUGAGGAGGCGAAAGCGUGGGGAGCGAACAGG